ACGAGUGCUGCCGCGGUGGCCAAUUUGUCGUUCCAGAUUUGUUGAUUUCGGCGGCCAUUUUGUUUUUUCUUAAAUAGGCCCGUAUAUGUUUACUUUAUUUUCUUAUUAAUUAUCAAUAUUUGAGCUUUUUUAUGGUGUUUUUCGUGCUUAGCUUUUAAAUUAACCCUAUGGUUAUCUAUUUCCAGUCAUUUUGUCUUAAUAUUGUUACCAGAUUUCUUUCUCUCUCUUGCCUAGGAACUGUCAAAAUGGUUAAUUUGUUAUUUUAAGAUAUAUUUAUCAUAUUAAGUAACUCAGUUUAUUACAGGUGAGAUUUCCUUCAGUAACCUGCUUUUUUUCCCAUCAAAAUACCCCCAUUUGUUUGUAAAAUAUCAAUUAUGGGGUAUGGCUUGGGACCCUUUUUCUGAAGAAAUUACCAGUAUUAUUGGUUAUCAGUUGGAUUUUCUUCAUCGUGAACUAUGAAGGCUAGAAUGAGAACAUUUCGGCUGUCCCCACUGUCAACUGUAAUAUGCUGCGUUUUUUAGAGAGAUUUUGAGAGAGAUGAAAGUUUUUAUCGGUGGCCAGAUAUCCAUGAUCAACCAGCUGAUUCAUUUGAUUUUGAACCAGAUUUAAACCAAACUGUACCCCAAUUCCUGCAAAGUGCUCCUGAAAGUUUUUCUCUCUUAGAACAAAAGACUGGACUAAUUUCUGUGGCUAAAAUUUUCAGAGACUUGUGGUCAAGCUG
Molecule: long non-coding RNA, 721 nt
Filed under: Daphnia pulicaria
Lineage: Eukaryota; Metazoa; Arthropoda; Branchiopoda; Diplostraca; Daphniidae
Description: uncharacterized LOC124329161, transcript variant X3
Source: RNAcentral